UCCCGACAGUCCAAGUCGCAGCCAGCAUUAUUGGGUCUAAAACAUCCGUAGCUUGCUCUACAAGUUUCUUGUGAAAUUUGACGUCUCAAGCGUCGAGCGUGCAAGAAAUACUGUUUAGCUAGAGACCGGUAGAUGUAAGGAGUACACUCAAGGUAGUAGUAAAAUACGUUAAUCUUGGGCGGACUAACAAUUAGCGAAGGCACCUUACAAGGACGGAUCUGACAGUGAGGGAUGAAGGCCAAGGGCGCAAAAC
This 253-nucleotide ribosomal RNA is filed under the name uncultured archaeon. RNAcentral describes it as "partial 16S ribosomal RNA". It matches the Rfam family "Archaeal small subunit ribosomal RNA", at positions 474 to 725 of the family's 1478-position model. The record is from RNAcentral.